GUAGGGGGGGCGAGCGUUAUCCGGAUUUACUGGGCGUAAAGAGUGCGUAGGGCGGCUUUUCAAGUCAGAUGUGAAAUCUCCCGGCUUAACUGGGAGGGGCCAUUUGAUACUGUUGGGCUAGAGUGCAGCAGAGGGAGGUGGAAUUCCCGGUGUAGUGGUGAAAUGCGUAGAUAUCGGGAGGAACACCAGUGGCGAAGGCGGCCUCCUGGGCUGUUACUGACGCUGAGGCACGAAGGCGUGGGGAGCAAACAGGAUUAGAUACCCUGGUAGUCCACGCAGUAAACGAUGGAUACUAGGUAUAGGGGGUAUCGACCCCUUCUGUGCCGAAGCUAACGCUUUAAGUAUCCCGCCUGGGAACUACGGUCGCAAGACUA
RNAcentral lists this ribosomal RNA (374 nucleotides) under uncultured organism. RNAcentral's name for it is "partial 16S ribosomal RNA". It matches the Rfam family "Bacterial small subunit ribosomal RNA", at positions 525 to 896 of the family's 1533-position model. The record is from RNAcentral.